GUCUAAAUGACAUGCUUAAAUGGGUCCUAUACAUUUUACUGUGUUACUAAUCUUCUCAUUUUUGAUUUAGUUCACAUUCGAAAUGAGAAAUUAAGUUAGAAUAAAAACAUUUGUAAAAACAGUUUACCUGUUGGUGGAGUGUAGGUCUUUAAAAGAGCUAGAGCUGGUAGGCUACCAUUAACUGAAAAUAUUCAGGAGGAGAAUAUUUAAAGCCCUAAAAGGAAAAAAAAUGUCCAAAAUUUGACCCAAGAAUUAAAAUCCUGAGGAUGAGAAAUCAGGCGAAUAUUCUUUUUUUUUUUUUUUUUUGAAUCAUAUGAUCUUGUUUGGAAUGUCUCUUAGAAAAUUUCUCUUCAAUAGGCCAAAGUGACUGAACCUUAAACAAUUCAUCUGAAAAAGGACUUGCCAAGAUUCUAGCAUUUUAAAAUAAAAUCUAAUUCACUAUCAUAAUUUUUCCAUAUUUUAAAAUGGUACUCUCUGUCACUAUGAAUAAACAUGCAGGGUUAAAAUGAUCUAUGAGAACUCACUCAUGAAUCUGCAUAUAUAUUCUUGGUGGUUUAAGAGAUAUUUUUAUAAGUGUUACAUUUUUAUGUAUGUUUAUUUUAAUCACAGUCUAAAAAGUGACUAUUCAAUAACAUUUGGAUGACUUUUUAACAACCAAACAUCCCAUGUUAACCUAGUGUUUCUAUUUAUACUUAGGACAACAUGAGAGCCAAGCAGUUCUGUUUUGAUUGUUAAAAGCAACUGAACAGAGGCAGCAGAUGAUGCAUUUGGGUUCUGGCCUCAGGAUUCAGAGACUGCUCUGCUGUGAGGAGUCCUUCUGCACUGCCAGAUUUUUUUCACCCUUUUUUUCCCGGGUGCAAGACCAGCCACCUCCUUCUACACUCUUUUCUUCCCUACUCUCCCGAAACUCAGAUUCCAUCAAUUAAAAACCCAUUUAGUUAAUGUUCCCGCUUAUCUUUCCUUUCUUUUUUUUUCUUUUAUUUUCUUACUGAAUUAAGUUAUUGCUAUAUUUAUUGUAAUGUUUCAAGGGUCAGAUCAUCCAUUGCCUCAAACCCACUGAUAUCCCAGACACCAGAAAACAGUACCCACCUCUCACCAAAAGAUACUAAAGCAUGCUGUUCUUCAGAGAAAAGACUCAGCCUAACUAAUUUCUCUAGAUCCGAUACUACUGUGCAUAGCUGGUGGGAAAUACUUGUUAACUGAGUGUUUACAUGACUGAUGACUAAAUAAAAGUACAUGAGUGGGAAACA
RNAcentral lists this long non-coding RNA (1250 nucleotides) under Sus scrofa (pig). Its description in RNAcentral is "lncRNA (ENSSSCG00035063995.1)". Lineage: Eukaryota; Metazoa; Chordata; Mammalia; Artiodactyla; Suidae. The record is from RNAcentral.